Molecule: ribosomal RNA, 697 nt
Filed under: Burkholderia sp. Z20
Lineage: Bacteria; Pseudomonadati; Pseudomonadota; Betaproteobacteria; Burkholderiales; Burkholderiaceae
Description: bacterial SSU rRNA
Rfam family: Bacterial small subunit ribosomal RNA
Source: RNAcentral
GUCGAACGGCAGCACGGGGGCAACCCUGGUGGCGAGUGGCGAACGGGUGAGUAAUACAUCGGAACGUGUCCUGUAGUGGGGGAUAGCCCGGCGAAAGCCGGAUUAAUACCGCAUACGCUCUACGGAGGAAAGGGGGGGAUCUUAGGACCUCCCGCUACAGGGGCGGCCGAUGGCAGAUUAGCUAGUUGGUGGGGUAAAGGCCUACCAAGGCGACGAUCUGUAGCUGGUCUGAGAGGACGACCAGCCACACUGGGACUGAGACACGGCCCAGACUCCUACGGGAGGCAGCAGUGGGGAAUUUUGGACAAUGGGGGCAACCCUGAUCCAGCAAUGCCGCGUGUGUGAAGAAGGCCUUCGGGUUGUAAAGCACUUUUGUCCGGAAAGAAAACGCCGUGGUUAAUACCCGUGGCGGAUGACGGUACCGGAAGAAUAAGCACCGGCUAACUACGUGCCAGCAGCCGCGGUAAUACGUAGGGUGCAAGCGUUAAUCGGAAUUACUGGGCGUAAAGCGUGCGCAGGCGGUCCGCUAAGACAGAUGUGAAAUCCCCGGGCUUAACCUGGGAACUGCAUUUGUGACUGGCGGGCUAGAGUAUGGCAGAGGGGGGUAGAAUUCCACGUGUAGCAGUGAAAUGCGUAGAGAUGUGGAGGAAUACCGAUGGCGAAGGCAGCCCCCUGGGCCAAUACUGACGCUCAUGCA